GAUGUUCUAACGUUGGCCCCUGACCGGGGUUGCGGACAGUGUCUGGUGGGUAGUUUGACUGGGGCGGUCUCCUCCCAAAGCGUAACGGAGGAGCACGAAGGUUAGCUAAUCCUGGUCGGACAUCAGGAGGUUAGUGCAAUGGCAUAAGCUAGCUUGACUGCGAGCGUGACGGCGCGAGCAGGUGCGAAAGCAGGUCAUAGUGAUCCGGUGGUUCUGAAUGGAAGGGCCAUCGCUCAACGGAUAAAAGGUACUCUGGGGAUAACAGGCUGAUACCU
Molecule: ribosomal RNA, 275 nt
Filed under: Acinetobacter baumannii
Lineage: Bacteria; Pseudomonadati; Pseudomonadota; Gammaproteobacteria; Moraxellales; Moraxellaceae
Description: partial 23S ribosomal RNA
Rfam family: Bacterial large subunit ribosomal RNA
Source: RNAcentral